UACGUAGGGUGCAAGCGUUACUCGGAAUUACUGGGCUUAAAGCGUGCGCAGGCGGUGAUGUAAGUCAGAUGUGAAAUCCCCGGGCUCAACCUGGGAACUGCAUUUGUGACUGCAUCGCUGGAGUGCGGCAGAGGGGGAUGGAAUUCCGCGUGUAGCAGUGAAAUGCGUAGAUAUGCGGAGGAACACCGAUGGCGAAGGCAAUCCCCUGGGCCUGCACUGACGCUCAUGCACGAAAGCGUGGGGAGCAAACAGG
This 253-nucleotide ribosomal RNA is filed under the name uncultured bacterium. RNAcentral's name for it is "partial 16S ribosomal RNA". It matches the Rfam family "Bacterial small subunit ribosomal RNA", at positions 524 to 776 of the family's 1533-position model. The record is from RNAcentral.